This is a small nuclear RNA of Diceros bicornis minor, 104 nucleotides long. The record is from RefSeq and is a predicted model, not a curated record. Lineage: Eukaryota; Metazoa; Chordata; Mammalia; Perissodactyla; Rhinocerotidae.
GUGCCCGCCUUGGCAGCACAUAUACUAAAAUUGGAAUGAUCCAGAGGUUAGCAUGGCCCCUGCACAAGGAUGACAUGAAAAUUCGUGAAGGGUUCCAUAUUAAA